Molecule: ribosomal RNA, 752 nt
Filed under: uncultured rumen protozoa
Lineage: Eukaryota
Description: bacterial SSU rRNA
Rfam family: Eukaryotic small subunit ribosomal RNA
Source: RNAcentral
GAGGAGAGGAGCCUGAGAACGGCUACUACAUCUACGGAAGGCAGCAGGCGCGUAAAUUACCCAAUCCUGAUCAGGGAGGUGGUGACAAGAUAUAACAACGCAAUUUAUUGUGAUUGUAGUGAGGGUUUUCCAAACCGAACCACUAGUACGAUUAGAGGGCAAGUCUGGUGCCAGCAGCCGCGGUAAUUCCAGCUCUAUAGCGUAUAUUAAAGUUGCUGCAGUUAAAAGCUCGUAGUUGGAUUUCAAGGAUUGUGUACUCUCUCAGGGUAUGCUCCCUACUAGUCUUCGACUUGUUACUGUGAGAAAAUUAGAGUGUUAAAGCAGCUAUUGCAAGAAUACAUUAGCAUGGAAUAACGAAUGUAUCUAGAAUCUUGGUUAAUUCUAGGUACGAUUAAUAGAGAAAGAAGGGGGCAUAGAUUCAAUUGCAGAGGUGAAUUCUUGGACUCGCCACACACUACCGUAUGCUAAAGCAUCUGCCAGGAUGUUUUCAUUAAUCACAACGAAAGAUAGCGGAUCAAAGACAUCAGAUACUGUCGUAGUCCUAUCUACAACCAUGCCGACUAGGGAUGGAUGGAACAUCACCACUCCAGUACCUAUGAGAAUCAAGUCUUUCGGGUCUGGGGGGAGUACGUCCCAGACUGAAACUCAAGAUGACGGAGGACACAGGAGUGGAGCUGCGGCUAUCGACUCACCGGGAACUACAGUCGAACUAUAGAUCGACAGAUGAAGCUUUCUGAUCCUGGUGGGGCAUG